AGCGAACGCUGGCGGCAUGCCUAACACAUGCAAGUCGCACGGUCAGCAAUGGCAGUGGCGGACGGGUGAGUAACGCGUAGGGACGUAUCCAAUGGUGGGGGAUAACCCUGGGAAACUAGGGCUAAUACCGCAUGAGGCCUGCGGGCGAAAGCAGCGAUGCGCCGAUGGAGCGACCUGCGUCCGAUUAGCUAGUUGGUAGGGUAACGGCCUACCAAGGCUCUGAUCGGUAGCUGGUCUGAGAGGAUGAUCAGCCACACUGGGACUGAGACACGGCCCAGACUCCUACGGGAGGCAGCAGUGGGGAAUAUUGGACAAUGGGCGCAAGCCUGAUCCAGCAAUGCCGCGUGGAUGAAGAAGGUCUUCGGAUUGUAAAGUCCUUUCGGCGGGGACGAUGAUGACGGUACCCGCAGAAGGAGCCCCGGCUAACUUCGUGCCAGCCGCCGCGGUAAAAC
This 452-nucleotide ribosomal RNA is filed under the name uncultured bacterium. RNAcentral's name for it is "bacterial SSU rRNA". It matches the Rfam family "Bacterial small subunit ribosomal RNA", at positions 29 to 526 of the family's 1533-position model. The record is from RNAcentral.